RNAcentral lists this ribosomal RNA (755 nucleotides) under Vibrio alginolyticus. Its description in RNAcentral is "bacterial SSU rRNA". It matches the Rfam family "Bacterial small subunit ribosomal RNA", at positions 55 to 789 of the family's 1533-position model. The record is from RNAcentral. Lineage: Bacteria; Pseudomonadati; Pseudomonadota; Gammaproteobacteria; Vibrionales; Vibrionaceae.
AUGCAAGUCGAGCGGAAACGAGUUAUCUGAACCUUCGGGGAACGAUAACGGCGUCGAGCGGCGGACGGGUGAGUAAUGCCUAGGAAAUUGCCCUGAUGUGGGGGAUAACCAUUGGAAACGAUGGCUAAUACCGCAUGAUGCCUACGGGCCAAAGAGGGGGACCUUCGGGCCUCUCGCGUCAGGAUAUGCCUAGGUGGGAUUAGCUAGUUGGUGAGGUAAGGGCUCACCAAGGCGACGAUCCCUAGCUGGUCUGAGAGGAUGAUCAGCCACACUGGAACUGAGACACGGUCCAGACUCCUACGGGAGGCAGCAGUGGGGAAUAUUGCACAAUGGGCGCAAGCCUGAUGCAGCCAUGCCGCGUGUGUGAAGAAGGCCUUCGGGUUGUAAAGCACUUUCAGUCGUGAGGAAGGUGGUGUCGUUAAUAGCGGCAUUAUUUGACGUUAGCGACAGAAGAAGCACCGGCUAACUCCGUGCCAGCAGCCGCGGUAAUACGGAGGGUGCGAGCGUUAAUCGGAAUUACUGGGCGUAAAGCGCAUGCAGGUGGUUUGUUAAGUCAGAUGUGAAAGCCCGGGGCUCAACCUCGGAAUAGCAUUUGAAACUGGCAGACUAGAGUACUGUAGAGGGGGGUAGAAUUUCAGGUGUAGCGGUGAAAUGCGUAGAGAUCUGAAGGAAUACCGGUGGCGAAGGCGGCCCCCUGGACAGAUACUGACACUCAGAUGCGAAAGCGUGGGGAGCAAACAGGAUUAGAUACCCUG